AAAAUUUACACUAAAACUCUUCUCGAAUGCUUUCUUUUCUAUGUAAAAACUAAGAUUAUGAUGGAAUAAAGUCUUCUUCAUUAGUAAGUUCUUUAUUUAAUUUGUCUUCUUUAUUUUUCUUCUGCACGAUCCCCUUUUUAUGGUAUCAGAGCCAUGUUAAUGGCACCCAUUGUUAGCAUGAGUAGCUAAAUUCUUUGGUUGUCUUGGCUGAUAGAAAUCAUGUGAUACGUUAGAUAAUGAAAUAAUCUUAACUUAGCUAUUAUCCGUCUUAUGAAUUAUUAUAUUUGAUUCUUUAUAAUCUCUUGAAAUUAUCCUAGUUAUUAUCUUGUAUAAUAUACUCUGUUAAUUUAGACUUAAAAUUAUAGGCCAGAGUUUCUUAUUAUCAUGUUGAGGUUUUGUCUAUGCAUAAGUCUGAGCAUGCCGAUUAAUCUCCGGCUUAAGGAUUUGGACGGUCUAAUGGUAGAUCAUAGUAAGUCCAGUAAGACCCUGGAGGGGCAGGCAGCCGAUCUUAUGGUGAGUAACAUCCAAAGCCUAUUUAAUUGAUUUAAGUCAUUUUUAACUUUUGUAUUAUUUAGAUAAUCACUGUUUUUAAUUUCUAUUGAUUUUAAGAACCAAUUGUAAUCUUUCAUUAGUCGGAUAGUCUUUGUUAAAAUUAUUUCUAACAUAUUUCUUAUCCUUGAAGUUCUUUCAUGCCUAAAGACAACCGUUUGUUCUCAUGAAUAGCAACAAUGUUGUUAACUCUGUUAAUUGCUCUAUAUCUAAAGAAGAUAUGCGUUUACAAAAUUGGUCUAUUCCUAAAGAACCUGUUAAUAAGAUUUACUAGAUAGGUAAUUUCAGUUUAUUUAAAUGUUUUGAUAUAAAAACUUGUGAAUGAUAAGUUUGAACACUCGAUAUGGAUCGCCUUAGCUGGGAAACACCUCUUUUCGGUGUGGAGAUGACACUUGAUUUCAUGAGUAACUCACAUGAUCAAGAUUGAUUUUAAUUGGUGAAUCACCUCUUCUCGGUGUGGGGAACACACUGGAUUUCAUGUUAGCUCGCAUAAUCUUACUUCCAAUGAUGUCUCUAUGAAAGCAAGAAAGACAUGAUAUAUGAAGAAGAUCUUAAGAAUGUUAAUAGAUAAUAUCAAUACUUAUUAAGUUUCAGCAAAUAAUGGGCAAGGCCAAAUAAGAUUGGCUUAUAAUGACUUCUUAUAUAAUGCCAAUAAAGUGAAAUAAAAACAUCACGACAACUAAAACCCUCAUAACUUCCCUAACAUGAAAGUAAUGAAAUAGAUGGCAUACCCAACAGAAACUGGCUUAUGAAAUGUUAAUGAAUACAUAGAGUAACGAAUGACUCAUUGUAAAGUAGUGAAAUAUUUCCUCAGUCCUUGGAUUACUUACUUGAUUAAUUGUAAGUAUGAGACUACAAUAAAUCAUUGCACUUAUAAAUAAAACAUAGGACAAAAGGAAUUAUUGAACUACACAACAAGUAGAAGAAAAAGACUAAAAAUAGAACUAAGUAUAGGAAUGGGAGCUCUCGGGUUGGGGGCUAUAUUCUUAAAAUGAAUCUAGAUCAUGUGAGUUACUCAUGAAAUCAAGUGUCAUCCCCACACCGAAAAGAGAUGAUUCCCAGCUAAGGCGAAUCCAUAUCGAAUGUUCAUACUUGUGAAUAGAAGUCUAUGUAAAUAUCCAAAUAUAUGUAAUGAUAAGUAUGAAAAUUUCUGCUAAAUUUGAGCUGUAAAUGUAAUAAUGUAUGCAAAAAGCCUAGUCUUAGUCCUAAUUGAGUACGACAAUGCCGAUUACGUCUAGCGGAUAUUCGUCGAUGUGAUAAACUUGGUAUCAGAGCAUGACGUUGAAUAUAUUUGAGUCAAUGUCUCUUUUAACCAUCUCUAUGUAAGUUCAUAUUCAAACUUGUGAAGCGUUCCACACUUAUUAAUAGGAACCUAUGCGAUGCAUAGGAAACUCUUACUUUCUUUGAAGUCUAAUAUCGUGCCUGUAGAGUUUAACUCUAUGUGGUUUUAGAAUCUAAUCCUUUUAUUGAGAUUAUACACAAUGAAUACAUUAAAUAAUGCGGCACGGAGGCUUGUGUAAGAGAUUGCUAAUGCAUGAGUUCCUCCCUGUAAUUAUCAAGUCCCUCAUCUUGAUGAAGACAUGAAUGAUGACAAAGCUCCGGUCGAUACUCUUUUACGGAUGGUGCCACAAGGGCUGCACUCUUCAAAAUGGCUCAAGCCAUUACAGCCGCAGUACAAGCCACCACUACUCAAGCCCAAGUUAUGACGGCCCAAUGUAAUCGAGAGGUUGUACCCCGAGCUCAUCAAUAAGCAUAUACGAUGGACUUUCCUCUAAGGGAUUUCACUAGGAUGAAUCCCCCGUCUAUCUAUGGGUUUAAGGUAGAAGAAAACCCCCAAGAGUUCAUUGAUGAAGUUUUUAAGAUUCUCUAUUCUAUUAAGUUGUCUACUAAUGAGAAGUUUGAGUUAGUCACUUAUCAACUCAAAGAUGUGGCCCAAACUUGGUAAGUCCAACGGAGGGACAAUAGGCCUUUAAAGGAGGACAGGUGACUUAGGAGGUGUUCUAGAAGGGUUUUCUUGAUAGGUUGUUUCCUAGUGAGAAGAGGGAAGUCAAGGGGGUGGAGUUCAUCAACUUCUUCAAGGAGGUAUGGGUGUUCUUGAAUAAUCUUUGAAUUUCACUGAAUUAUCAAAGUAUACUCCUUCUUUGGUGUACGAAACUAGGGAUGAAAUGAGUCAUUUUUGUGAUGGAGGUGUCUGAUGAUUUAUAAGACGAUUAUCAUUAAGAUAUAUUACAUGGCAAUCUGAACAUUUCUUGUCUCAUGAUUCAUGCUCAACAAGUGGAAGAGGCAAGGGUUAAGAGGAAGAGUAGAGAUGCCAAGAGGGCAAGAUCUUUUGAUGGUGGUUCUUCUAAGAGUAGGUUUGACAUUCUAAGCAAGCCUAAUUUCAAUAAGAGGGUGUCUAAUCAAGUUCCUUAUAUGUUAACUAAGUCUCAUUAUGAUUAGGUGUCUAACCCUAAGUCUAAAAAUAGAAAGGGUGCUAGUUCACUACCAGAGAAGCCCACUUGUGAAAAGUGUGGCAUUCACACUACGGUGAUUGCCUUAAGACAACGGAUAAUUGUAUUGGUUGUGGUAAAACCCAGCACAAGGUUUGAGAUUUCACUAAUGUGAGGAAUCAAUACAAGGGUAGUUGUCAAGCUCAACCAAGUAGUGCUAAUGAUUCUUCGAAGAAGAAUCACUCCUAUGCUCUCCGCUCUAGGGUUGAGCAAGAGACUUCUCCCGAAGAGGUGAACGGUAUGUAGAAAGUCUUUACCAAUGAUGUAUACUCUUUACUUUAUCCAUGCGCUACAUUAUCUUUUGUUACUCUCUUGAUAGCUAAGAAUUUGAAAUCUCACCCGACAUUCUGAAUGAACCUUUUAUAGUGUCUACCCCCGGUUGAGGAGUUGAUUGUUGCAAAAAGAGUAUAUAGGAAUUGUCCUAUAAUGUUUCCCAAAAGAUUUACUCAUAUUUAACUAGUAGAACUUGAUAUGUUUCACAUUAAAAAACCACACCAUAGAAGAUAUGGCAUUCUCGAAAUACAACAAGUGCAGUUGACCUCUCAGAGAUCUUGUACAAGCCCUUUUCAUAUCGUUCAUCUCAUAUACAUAAUGAAAAUUAGUGCUGAAUUAAAACUUUUCAAAAAAACAUUAGAAUACCUUUAUAAUAUCUUUUAUUAGAAAUCAUAAUAAAUAAUAAGUCUCAAACUCAUCACAGCUUUGACACGAGAAUAGUUGGGAUAUGGCCCAUAUUUCAAAAUAUCGAAAUAUAUAGUCUAUUACAAUACUUCAAUAAAGGAAAUAAAAGACAUAUUAUGCCCUCGAUUCAAAUAAGGGAAAACAUCAACUUUACUUUAAUGAUGCUAUGAUCCAAUCCUUGCUUCCCAAAUUCUCUUCACCUAUUAACCACAAUAGAGAUAGAUAAAAACAUGGAAUUAGUACAAACACAUGUACUAAGUAUGACAUAAUGCAUAAAAUCAUGAAAACAGACAUUUAUUAGAAAUAUGCAUCUUAUUCCUUAAAACAUCUUAUCAUAAUCAUAAAAAUAACAUUUAAAACCUUAGUAACACAUAACAUAACAUUUAAGCAAUUUAGUAAAUCUUUAGCAACAUUAUAGUGAACUAACUUCACUAUUACAGUGAACGUCACCAGUAAACUUAUCAACUUCUUCUGAGAUACAUUCUAGCAUGCAAUACUCCCACUAAAAGUUAUCCUACGGCUCACUUAAUUAAGACAAAGAGAGGUCGGCUAUACAAUGUCUCUGGGCACACCAAAUUCUCUUUAAGACAACCUAUAAUGAGAUAAACACAAACUUACAAGACAUCAUACACAUCAACAUGAGAUCCUUCUACCAAAAGCGUUUCGAUGUCUCACUUGAGUGAUUUGUGAAGUAAUAGCUCAUACAAUCCCUUAUACACACACUUAGGAGAUCCUAUAGACAACCUAAAAUACAAUUAUUCAAACUUAACACAACAACAUAUAGAUAGGAUGACAUUCUCCUUCAAAAGGUUAUCAAAAGACUUACUUAAGUAAAUCAAGAAGAUAACGUCUGUGAUUGACCUCUUCAAGAUUACCUAUAUAAUCCUUAAAACUACCUAAGGCUUAUAUCAUGUCCACAAAAACAACAUCUUUCCUAACUAGAGUCAUUCUUAAGACUUAUCUAGCUAAGAUACGAAGUGAUCAUUCUUAUUCCCCUUUCACACCUUAACUAGAUAACCCUUAACUACUCUAGAUGAGUACUUAUUCAUUUUAAAUGCUUUCUUAACUUAAGUCAUUACAUUCAUUAGUUCAUUUAUAGACUCAUUCCUCACAUUAGGACAUUCAACAAUUAGUCUUGGACAACACCUAGGAACUCCAACUAAAACCUUUAAACCAUAUUGUACGAUUUUUAAAUAGCGUCCUAUACCACCACCUAAACUUCAUAGAAGUUUUCUAAUUCUAGUAUGUAUAACAUUUGAUGAGAAUAUACAAUAACUAACAUAAACAAUGAUCACUAGACAUGGAAUCAAGAGUUCUAACCUACUCUGAUGAGGGUGUUCUACUUGUCAAGGGUAGAAUUAGGACACAUCCCAUGUAGGCUCAUGGUUAAGGAAUAUGAAGGGCUUUUAUGCACUGUAGUUUAAUUCUCACAUGGAGAUACAUUUUAGUUUAGAGUCCGUAUCAAGUAGAGCUACUUCCCUUAACAUAAUUACUAUGUGCUUUCCUUUGUUCUCAUAGAAUAAUUGACACUAAAGGAUCACUUGUAGAUGUUUCCUUAUCUAGUUCAUAACCCAAUCACAUUCACCCUACCGAAGAGGUCCACUAGGGCAACCUUUCAAUGGCGACUAAGAUAGCUCUUCAUGACUCCCAAUAUACAGAAAAAGAACACAUACUUUCACAUUACUUCACAUGUAGAUAUAUAUAUAUAUAUAUAUGCUCAUACAUCACAUAAAUAAACUACACAAAUCAUUAUAAUACUUCAAGUAGUUGGCAAAAAGGUCGUGAUCAUCAUAAUACAUAAAGUAACCCCGACAAGGCCAUAAAUUUGGCAAGUAAAGCACAUAAAACCGCAACAAUAAGUGCACCAUACCAAUCACAACAGAAUUGAAGUAUAAUACAUAUAAAAUAAAGGAAUUAGAUCAGCGUACCACCACCCUAUUCUCAACACUUCAAUCCUUUGUCAAAUCAUCGCAAUUCAAUACCAUAAAGCCUUUACCCAAGGCAAUAACUAAUAAUUUAAUACAUAAACUAUGAAAUUCAAUGAAACUAGGUCAAUAAAAUAUAAUUUCAUCAACUUUAGACAACCUAUAUAUCAAUUCAAUAUAAUUGAUACAUCAAUGAAUAUACCAUAGAAAACUACACACAUUAUACAAUCCAAAUAUCUAAUAAACUAUUAAUUUCGCAUUUCCAAUUAUAGAUAUUAAAUUAGCAAUUCAUGGAAAUAUCAUAUAACACAUUAUACAAUGGAAACAUCUAAGAAAACAUCAAUUUCACAUAAUCAAUAGAAUCACAACACAACAAGGAACAAGAAUAUAUUCUCUAACUCAUUAUGUUAUAAACUCACAUUCUUCAUCCCAAAUAGCAAAAGCUCAUUUUAUAUUUAAUGUUAAGCUCAUAUAAAUCAAUUCUAACUACAUUACAACAAUUUUAGUCCAAAGAAUGAAUUAGUUAAUUUUUCUAAAUCUUCACACUAAGCAGGCAAUGCUACAAUGAAUUUUUCAACUUUUUUUUUCAAAAAUGUAACUUUAAGGGAAUUCAUGAUGGAAACAUGCUAUAUGGAAUGUACAACCACAUAAACACAUCUUACAUCAUAAUCAUAACUUCAUAAAAGGCAUAAUGCAAGGAAUAAAUGAAAUUCAAUUUCCACAAGACCCCUAAACACAAUGCAUAUGCGACUUAUUUCCAUGAUUUUCUACUCUCAAGCUUGAGUUGAAUAAAAGAGAUGAGACAAUAAAUUAAGACUCUUUUACUCACCAUACUCCCCCACUUAGAAAGAACUCAUAACACUAAAGAGGUACAAGGACUUACCAUCAUCACCAUCCUCAUUUGACUUUGCUCCUCUAGUGUUGAGUGCAUAGAAAUGCCUCAUAUUUAGAGCAUCAUCCUUUGCAACAUUAAGAGCAACUUUCUUACUAUCUCUUCUUCUAGCCGCAAUGUAGGACAAUCUCUCACCUUAUGAUCGCCCUUCCCACGACCAAAAAAACAACUAGUACCGGCUAGACAUUUCCCAUAGUGCCUUUUCCAAAAGUGACACAUGUAGCCAUUCCAUUUUGAGAACCACCGCCUCUCUAAAAUUUCACGUUAGCACUCCUAGGUUUUUUAGAUUUUGAGCUCUAUUUUAGAACUAGUUUGAUGUUGUUCACUAGAACAACUCGAUUUUAAAUUUUUAAACACCCUCUUACGUUCGGAGUUUUCGAUUGAUUGGGCAUACACCAUGAGUCUAGCUAGGGUCAUAUCAUCAUGUAGCAUGGCCGUACAACAUUCUUCCCUCCCUAUAUCGGUGACACUCAUCAUGAACCUACUCAUAUCAUCCUUAGAGUUAGACACAAGGGACGGAGUAUGUUUAGAAAACAUAGAGAACUUCAAAGAGUAUUCCUUAACACUCAAGUUUCUUGCUUAAGAUUGAUAAAAUUCUCUACCUUAACCUCCGUCCUUUCACGGGGAAAUAACCUUCCAACAAAAGUUUCCUUUAAUUCUUCCCAUUCAAUAGGACCCGACUCCACUGUCUUAUUGCCUUUACAUUGUGUGUACCAUACUUGAGCAACAUAUUUCAUUUUAAACAAAGCCAACUUUGCUUUCUUUCUAGAAGUUACUCCCAUAGCAUGCACUAUCGUAUACACCUUAUCAAUAAACUCUUGGGGAUCUUCUCUGACCUUAGAGCCCAAAAGAUAGGAGGAUUCAUCUUCAUAAAAACUCUUAAUCUAGAUGUGAUAGUACUCUCCAGAAAGUACCAGUGAGGGUGCUAACAUUGAUGUGGAUACUACUGACAGUUUCCCAACUAUUGAUGGAGUGGGUUCCGAGAAAGCGGACCCGCCGGCUUAUUGAUCUUCGGCACUAUGCGUCGAGGGUAUUAUUUUAUAUUUUUUAUGCAUUAGGGACAAUUGCAUGCUUUUUUUAGGGUGGGGUAAAUGGAAAAAGAGUGGUAGAGUGAAAUCUGAGAAGCCCAACUCAAGAUCCUCUAUUGGGGUUUUUUUGCCUGUGUUCUUUUGGCCCAAGAGAUUGGUUAUUUGACUAUUGAACCGGCAUGUUUAGUAUCUUAUUAUAACAACUUGAAAAUCCAAGACAUGCCAUAAAUCCUAAAGUAGGUGUCAUAACGUUUAAGUACUUUUUGUAAGUCCAUCUUAAUGAAUAUAGGUCAUUAAGGAUGUUUAAGAACCAAAACGUUCAAGAACAUCCUCGGCAUUCGGAAAGUUGGUUCAAAGGGGUAUUAGUGUGCCUUAGCCUAUUUGACUAACUUUUAAGAGUCGAAAAUGUUUGAAAAUAGGUGAAAGGGUAGCUUAUAAGUGUUGAGUUGUUUCGUGGUUAAAACGUCCGAGUACGACUAACCAAAGACCAACCAAGGGAUCUUGAGGAGGACCCUUGUGUUUUAAGAAACAGAGCCUCGAUAAUGGGAAACAACGUGACCACCUACAGCCUGUGUGUGGACUGGCGGGACGUCGAGGCCACAAUCGUCAUAGACUUAGACAAGUUGAAGAAGGUCUCUGCCUGCACAGUCUCUAAACUCAUCGAUGGAGUUCAUGAUGGAGGGGGUGAGGGAACGUCGACUUACAGACGGCCCGUCUAUCGAGGUCUUGUUUAUGAGUGUCGAGUUUCUUAUUUAUUUAAGUUAGUUGGGGGAUUAGGUGAAUAAUCGGGGGUGUAAGGGAGUCUAAGUAAGUUUAUUAAGUCCAAAUAAAAAUACCCUCAACCCUCAUUAAUCAAAAGACAACUCAUAAAUAAACUCUCUUCCUUCUAUCUUCUUUCUCUCUCUACUUGGAAUCACCAUUGAAAAUUAGCAAGGAUUUAAGAUUUGGGGGCUGGAAAGGGACAAAUUCACCAUCAUUUUUUUUCAAACGUUAAGGUAUGGUUCUAAUUUACCUUUGGGACUCUUUCCUCAAAGGUUUCCUCCAAAAUGUGUUUAAAAUAUUUAGUUUUCUUAUGCGUUUCAUUUAAUUACGAAAUAGAAGUUGUGAAUUGAAUUGUUGUUGAUUUAUUUACGUUAUAUUGAAUAGAUUAACACGUAUUUUAACUGGUUUCUUGUAAUUUUUUAUGGUUUUGUCUAAAUUGAAGAACAUGAUACUCAAUCUCUAACCCUAGGUUGUGAGCUUGAGCUAUAUUUGACUUGGUUAUUGAUUAGAUAACUAUCAUAUGGUGUUAUUAUAAUUAAAUUAAGAUGAAUUAUUGGCCUAUCAUGCUAGUUCAUGAGAUGUGAUUUAGGUUAUGAAUUGUAAUGUGAAAUUAACAAAUAUACUUGUCUUAUGUUGUGAUCUAGUGUUGAAUUGUGUUAUAGAGAUUCAAUUGGCCUUGUUAUAUUAUUGGUAAUCAUUUUGUGAUGAUGUUACUCCCCAAAAUUUGGGUUGAGUUAUGAGUUAAUGGUAAGACCUUGAUGAUAGACUAUGAGGAAGACUGGGUAAGUCUUAGACGCUCUAUGCUUAAUUCCAAUUGUGAUUAAUUGUUGUUAAGCCAUGAUAUUACAUUUGAGUAUGUUUUAUAUUAUUAUUAUAAGGUGGUUUGAUGUUAAAUCUAUAUGUAUUGACUAUGUUGUGAGGUUGAUUAAGGUGCAUGUGAUAUAAGGAUGGUGAAAAUUAUUAACAUGCCUUGAUAUGCUAAUGUGUUAAGCUCACAUAUAUAGAUUAAGAUGAAAGGUAUUAUACUCACACAAUUCUUAUUGAGCUAUUGAUAAUGGUUAUUAUAAAAAGGGUAGACCCUAUAACCUAAACUUAGCUAUAAUUGAUAAUUAAAAGCUUAACGACAUAUCAAAAAGGGACUCUAUCAUAUAAGAGAGUGAACUAGAUUGAGGAGUGUCCUUUCCCACAUAGGGAAGGUAGGAAAACUAUAUUAGUUUUGAGAGUGGAGACUCUAAUGCAUGGCGCAUAAAAAGUAUCCCAAAAAAUCUCUUAUUUUAUUGACCUAUGUUUCCCCUAUAAAAAUACUAGCUAGUGGAUCCACACAGUUGCUAUGUUUCAUGUUUUUUACAACCUUUUAAAGUAGUUCACCUUUUUUGUUGUAGAUCAUGAUAUUCCCAAAAGGUAAAAGUAAUUAAAAGACUUUAACUCUAACUUAGAUAGCUUAAGCGGUCUAUCUUAGUCUAGUCAGGAGAAUGCGACUCUACCUAAACAUUCCACUAGUUAUCCUUAAGGGGAUUCUUAGGAGGAGUUUCUUAUAUAUGUUUAUUCUAUGAUUAUAUAUGAUGUAUAAAUGAUGAUUGUGGCACAUUGUUGAAAAUAUAUGUUGAUUAGUUCAUUUAUGAAUAUGCCUUCGGUCAUAAUGUUAAUAUAUGAUCAAAUGUAAACCUAAUUGUUAUGUUAUGUAAAGUUGGACAUUAGUCAUGGUUUCUUGUUGAGGAUACUUGAUUUAGGAAGUUUAUGGGGAUUUGCAUUGUCAUUGAACUUGUUGACUUGAUAAGGACUCAUGAGUAGUUGUCUUUCUUAUUAUGAUAUGAUUGACUCUUAUUUAUUCUUAUGAUAUUGUUCCUUUAUGAUAUGGUUGUAAUAAAUCAUUGUUUCAAGUAUGUUGAGAAAAGUAUUACUUGUUGAGAUUGAAAAGUAUUACUUGUUGAGACUGUUGAUGUGAUUUUCUCUACUUUGCAUUGGUCCCUAAACGGGUAAAAUGCCAUAUUUUUACAAAAGUCCCUUUUGUGCAUAUUUUGCUUGUGUGUGUGUAUAAGGUCUCAUUCUUAGUACAUGUUGAGUACUAACCCCAUUUUCUUCCCUUUUCCCAAACAUUUUACGUUCCGGCCAAUGAAGAGCAUUGAAGGCGACAUUGAUGAAGGCUUGGAUUCUUCCUUUCAUACAAGUGGCGUAGGUCCUCAACUUCCGAAGGCAAUUCCAUCAUCUAUCUUACGAACUAGUUAUGAUCCUAAUGAAUCUUUCGUUCCUUUCCUUUUCAAUGGAGUACUAUAAUUUUGUAUGACCUAUAUGUGGUCUUGUUUGAUUGAUGUAAGGGCUAUGCCUAUAUUUUGAUAAUCAUUUAGAUUGUAUGAGAUGAGACAAUCAUUGAGACUAUUUCUAUGUUUUAUAUAUACGUAUGUGUGAUAAAAGUAGAAGGCUAUGUAACUUUCUUAUAUGAAGAGUCUAUGCAUACUUUAUAUGAAAGCAUAUUAUGUGUAUGUAGAGGUCUAUGUAAACCUCAAUAUAGUGAUAAUGAAAGUUCAAAAUUUUUUCCCG
RNAcentral lists this long non-coding RNA (10861 nucleotides) under Solanum lycopersicum (tomato). RNAcentral describes it as "long non-coding RNA (SLYC_LNC000288)". The record is from RNAcentral. Lineage: Eukaryota; Viridiplantae; Streptophyta; Magnoliopsida; Solanales; Solanaceae.